ACAGGCCAAUGCUUUUAAUUUCAUAGCAAGCUCGCUUGCUAUGAAAUAGGCAACCAGUAAUAUAAGCAAGUGUGCGCUAUUUAUAGCGCUAGCCAACAAACCUAUAAUUAUAUUAACUCUAAGAGAAAUUUAAUAAUAAACGAAGUGAAUUGAAAUAUCUUAGUAACUUUAGGAAAAGAAAUCAAAAGAGAUUCUAUGAUUAGCGUGAGCUAAAAUAGACUAGCCUAAAAAGUCAAAUGGUGGAUAAACUGUUUAAAUUAAAUGGGGAACCUUCCUCAAAGGCUAAAUAUAAUGUAUAAGCGAUAGUGGAAAGUACCGUGAGGGAACCAAAACAAAAACAGUGAUUUUAUAAGCAGUUCGGGAAAAAUAAAAAAAGUUAGAACGUACCUUUUGCAUAAUGGGUCACCAAGUUAACAUUAGAUGCGAGUAGGAGGCUUUGCCUAUGCAUACGUAGUUAAACCGAGCGUUAAAAUAACGGUAAGUAUCUAAAGUUAGACCCGAAGCCUGGUGAUUUUACCAUAAUCAGGAUUAUAAAAGUCCGAACGGAAUAUUGUAGCAUAAAUAUCCGAAGAAUUAUGGUAGGUGUAGUGAAAGACAAUACUGACCAGGAUAGCUGGUUUUCUGCGAAACCUAUAACAGUAGGCAAUUUAAGUAUAAUAUCUUAGCAGGUACAGAAUUUAAUCUCAGACAAGACAUAAGGCUUAGCUUGCUAGCAAGUAAAGCUCAUGUUUUAUUUUGUACAAAUUGGGGGAUCAUGAAGAUUUUAUCAGUGAGUAUGUAGACUCGGAAUGGCAAAGAUAUAUCUUAAAUCAUCAGACAUAGAAUGAUAAGGUUGUAUGUCAAAAGGGAAACAGCCCAGAACAAGAGUUAAGGUUCCUAAAUUAUUAGUUGAGUGAAAUUAAGAAGGUUUUUAUUAAAGUCGACAAGGAGAUAGGCUUAGAAGCAGCCAUAAUUUUAUGACCUCGUAACAGAGCGCUUGUUAAGUUUUAAAAGCAUCGAAAAUUUAUCGGAUCUAAACAAUAUACCGAAACCUUGUCCAUAUUAUUUUAUAAUUAAAGCUUAAUUAUAAUUAAAUGGGGUAGCAGAACGUUGAGCUAAAUUAAGAUUUUUAUUUUUUAAAUGAAAUUAUAAUAAUUUAACUCAAGUGAUAAUGGUGACAUGAGUAACUAAAAGAAAAAAUAAAAUUUUUCCGCCUAAAGCUUAUGGAUGUAAUUAAGUAACGGCCUCUAAGUUUAUAUUAUCUAAAGAUUUAAACGAUGAGAUAAUCUUUUGUACUAAGGACGACAUUUUAAGUGAAAAAUGUACUGGAAAAAUAGUACUAAAUUAAUGGCUAUAGCUAAUUAGUUAGCUAUAGCUAUAAAUGAAAAGUAACCGUACCUAGAAUCUGAAACAAGUAAGCUAGUAGAGAAUACGAAGGCGUAAAUGAGCUAACAAUCAUAAAGGAACUCGGCAAAUUGACUACCGUAACUUCGGGAUAAGGAGAGCUCAUUAUUCUUGAUUAAUAUCAGGUAAAGAGGAAGAAGCAUGAAAUAGUGUUGUACGACUGUUUAAUUAAAACACAGCACUUUGCUGAAAGAUUAAAAAUCUAAGUAUAGAGUGUGAUGUCUGCCCGGUGCCGGCUGGUUAACAGAUAUAAUUAAGUAUACUAAUAUUUGAUGUAGACGGAAACCCCGGUUAAAGGCGGCCUUAACGUGAGGGUCCUAAGGUAGCGAAAUGCCUUGGCCGUUAAAUGCGGUCUUGCAUGAAUGAUGUAACGAUACAACAGCUGUCUCUAUGAUUGACUCAGUGAAAUUGGAAUAGCUGUGCAGAUACAGUUUACCUCUAGUUAGACGAGAAGACCCUAUGCAGCUUUACUGUCACUAAUUAUAGAGUAUGAUAAACAAUUUUCAGAUUAUAAGGUAAUUGACGGCUAGCUUGUUUAGCAAGCUAGCUCUAUGACAAUGAGAAUCCUUUAUUUUUUUUUCAUAUGAAUGAAUUGGUUUAGGAUUAUGAGUAGGUAGCUGCUUCUGCUACUUGGCGCAAGCAUUGCUAGCGUCAGGUGUCUGAAGUAUGCAUUCCAGCUCAUGCAUAGUAAAUCAACCUAAUUCAGCUUAUUUUCCUUUCUGCCAUAAGCGCAUAAUGAUAGAUUUAACUUAAAUUUUGAUUUAUGCCAGCUGCAGAAAUAGAUAAGUACCCUUGGCUAAGGAACUAUCGCUAGGGGACAGUUUAUGUGGGGCACAGACCCUGUAAAGAGUAAACAGGAGUGUCUAAUAAUUUAUAAUUAUUUUGUUUGCGAUUUAAGAUAGUGAAACUAUUUUUAAUCAUAUAAAAUUAUUUAUAUGUACAUUCGUUGUAUAUAUAUUUAAAAAAAGGUAGGAUUUUCACUAUAUAGAAAUUAGAGAUAAUAAAAAUAUUAAGAAUAUACGUUUCAGGCGGGGGGCAAACUCCCUUUGAAACGUAGCACUAAUAUUUUUUAGCUAUUAAGACAGGCUAUCAAGCUAGGCUCUAAUAGUUAUGUAUUAAUUAUCUAAAAAGCUCAACGGCUAAAUCUUGCCUUACUGUUUGAUUAUCAACAAAUCU
This 2559-nucleotide ribosomal RNA is filed under the name Fusarium hostae. Its description in RNAcentral is "bacterial LSU rRNA". The stretch from base 1 to 2135 matches the Rfam family "Bacterial large subunit ribosomal RNA". Lineage: Eukaryota; Fungi; Ascomycota; Sordariomycetes; Hypocreales; Nectriaceae. The record is from RNAcentral.